GAUGAACGCUGGCGGCGUGCCUAAUACAUGCAAGUCGAGCGAACGGACGAGAAGCUUGCUUCUCUGAUGUUAGCGGCGGACGGGUGAGUAACACGUGGAUAACCUACCUAUAAGGCUGGGAUAACUUCGGGAAACCGGAGCUAAUACCGGAUAAUAUUUUGAACCGCAUGGUUCAAAAGUGAAAGACGGUCUUGCUGUCACUUAUAGAUGGAUCCGCGCUGCAUUAGCUAGUUGGUAAGGUAACGGCUUACCAAGGCAACGAUGCAUAGCCGACCUGAGAGGGUGAUCGGCCACACUGGAACUGAGACACGGUCCAGACUCCUACGGGAGGCAGCAGUAGGGAAUCUUCCGCAAUGGGCGAAAGCCUGACGGAGCAACGCCGCGUGAGUGAUGAAGGUCUUCGGAUCGUAAAACUCUGUUAUUAGGGAAGAACAUAUGUGUAAGUAACUGUGCACAUCUUGACGGUACCUAAUCAGAAAGCCACGGCUAACUACGU
RNAcentral lists this ribosomal RNA (496 nucleotides) under uncultured bacterium. RNAcentral describes it as "partial 16S ribosomal RNA". It matches the Rfam family "Bacterial small subunit ribosomal RNA", at positions 28 to 506 of the family's 1533-position model. The record is from RNAcentral.